Molecule: long non-coding RNA, 673 nt
Filed under: Salmo salar (Atlantic salmon)
Lineage: Eukaryota; Metazoa; Chordata; Actinopteri; Salmoniformes; Salmonidae
Description: lncRNA (ENSSSAG00000117265.1)
Source: RNAcentral
GUCUCCUUUGUGGUCAAACUGACUGAUGGGCGAGUCAUGCGCAGACACCAGGACCAUCUCCGCCUGCGCUAUGACAAAGACAAGACCAUGUUUUCAGACGGAACAGCUGUGGGUGGUAGUAUACAAGUUGAAAUCCCACAGGAAACAGCAUCUGAGGAACAGGGGCAUUCAGUGGUUCCAGCAGAGGGUGAUGGACAUUCUCUCACAAACACCCAACCCGCUCCUGUGCCCUCAGACCGAGCUCCACUGGGACACGCCUUACCUGUGUCUCGUAGCACACCAGGAGUACUGCGCAGAUCACAACGUAGUCACAAGCCUCCUACCUGCAGGUGAAGAUGACUCCUGGAACAGAGGCAGGAAGGGGAACACUGACCUGUAGCACCACCUGUACUCUGACUGACAACCCCACCUACAUCUGGUACAAGAACGGACACAAAGUAAAGGAGGACACUUCCAGCCUGUACUCAGAAUACUUUAGUGAUGUAGACUGCUACUCCUGUGCUGUAAAAGGCCAUGAGGAUCUCCACUCUCCUGCUGUGUGUGGAGUGUUCAGACCCUGUGAAGAGAAAGAGAGCUUCACUAACAGAGAAGGGUAUUCAGUUGUUUAAGCAGGGCCAGUACUCUCAGGAUGUGGACAUGUUCUCUGAGGCUAUCCACUGUUACCCCAAAGACC